RNAcentral lists this transfer RNA (72 nucleotides) under Danionella translucida. It matches the Rfam family "tRNA". From Rfam's summary of the family: Transfer RNA (tRNA) molecules are approximately 80 nucleotides in length. Lineage: Eukaryota; Metazoa; Chordata; Actinopteri; Cypriniformes; Danionidae. RNAcentral also lists the same sequence under 1 other name. The record is from Rfam by way of RNAcentral.
AGUUCUAUGGUGUAAUGGCUAGCACUCUGGACUCUGAAUCCAGCGAUCCGAGUUCAAAUCUCGGUAGGACCU